Molecule: ribosomal RNA, 258 nt
Filed under: uncultured bacterium
Lineage: Bacteria
Description: partial 16S ribosomal RNA
Source: RNAcentral
CUGCUGCCUCCCGUAGGAGUUUGGGCCGUGUCUCAGUCCCAAUGUGGCCGGUCACCCUCUCAGGUCGGCUACUGAUCGUCGCCUUGGUGAGCCGUUACCUCUCCAACUAGCUAAUCAGACGCGGGUCCAUCUCAUACCACCGGAGUUUUUCACACCAAACCAUGCGGUCUUGUGCGCUUAUGCGGUUUUAGCAGUCAUUUCUAACUGUUAUCCCCCUGUAUGAGGCAGGUUACCCACGCGUUACUCACCCGUCCGCCA